UUUAUUUAUUUAUUUUGGUUUUUCCGUUCGUCUUUAAAUGUAAUUUGAUCUCCGUUACCACGGUAAUCAAUGUAGGUGAUGUUAGCCCUCACGAUCGUUGGUAACUUUCGUUACCGGUUUAAGACCUGGAGAGAGAAUCUCGCGGAGGUCGCUCAUAUGUUGAAUCCUUCGGGAAGACGGAAAGGGACGGUCAGAGCCAUUGCCGACCGCUAGAGUGAGACGGGAACUCAGAUCUUUAAAGAUCCGAAGAAGCCCGAGGCAAUCUCCGGGAAACGGCGUACCAAAAGUACGUCUGGGGCCACUUUCCCCGUUCUGAGGAACCUAGUACUCGUUCACUUUGUCCCAGACCUUUGUGAAGUGUGGAGUGCGCGGACUUUUAUCCCGGGUUCCCUUUUUUUCCAGUCCUGAGAUCUCGUCGAGUUAGAAUUGUGAGUGUGCGAAAUAGUGAGCCUAGUGCGCGGCCUAGCUAGAGAUCAGUUCGAAGGCUUCGCUUCCUUUCGCCCUACCAGCAAAGCAGCACCAGUAGGAGAUCGAGCGCGCGUCCACCACCGCCCCGCAUCG
Molecule: long non-coding RNA, 561 nt
Organism: Culex quinquefasciatus (southern house mosquito)
Lineage: Eukaryota; Metazoa; Arthropoda; Insecta; Diptera; Culicidae
Exons: 3
Source: RefSeq, a predicted model, not a curated record